AGAGUUUGAUCAUGGCUCAGGACGAACGCUGGCGGCGUGCCUAAUACAUGCAAGUCGAGCGGACAGAUGGGAGCUUGCUCCCUGAUGUUAGCGGCGGACGGGUGAGUAACACGUGGGUAACCUGCCUGUAAGACUGGGAUAACUCCGGGAAACCGGGGCUAAUACCGGAUGGUUGUUUGAACCGCAUGGUUCAAACAUAAAAGGUGGCUUCGGCUACCACUUACAGAUGGACCCGCGGCGCAUUAGCUAGUUGGUGAGGUAACGGCUCACCAAGGCAACGAUGCGUAGCCGACCUGAGAGGGUGAUCGGCCACACUGGGACUGAGACACGGCCCAGACUCCUACGGGAGGCAGCAGUAGGGAAUCUUCCGCAAUGGACGAAAGUCUGACGGAGCAACGCCGCGUGAGUGAUGAAGGUUUUCGGAUCGUAAAACUCUGUUGUUAGGGAAGAACAAGUACCGUUCGAAUAGGGCGGUACCUUGACGGUACCUAACCAGAAAGCCACGGCUAACUACGUGCCAGCAGCCGCGGUAAUACGUAGGUGGCAAGCGUUGUCCGGAAUUAUUGGGCGUAAAGGGCUCGCAGGCGGUUUCUUAAGUCUGAUGUGAAAGCCCCCGGCUCAACCGGGGAGGGUCAUUGGAAACUGGGGAACUUGAGUGCAGAAGAGGAGAGUGGAAUUCCACGUGUAGCGGUGAAAUGCGUAGAGAUGUGGAGGAACACCAGUGGCGAAGGCGACUCUCUGGUCUGUAACUGACGCUGAGGAGCGAAAGCGUGGGGAGCGAACAGGAUUAGAUACCCUGGUAGUCCACGCCGUAAACGAUGAGUGCUAAGUGUUAGGGGGUUUCCGCCCCUUAGUGCUGCAGCUAACGCAUUAAGCACUCCGCCUGGGGAGUACGGUCGCAAGACUGAAACUCAAAGGAAUUGACGGGGGCCCGCACAAGCGGUGGGGCAUGUGGUUUAAUUCGAAGCAACGCGAAGAACCUUACCAGGUCUUGACAUCCUCUGACAAUUCUAGAGAUAGGACGUCCCCUUCGGGGGCAGAGUGACAGGUGGUGCAUGGUUGUCGUCAGCUCGUGUCGUGAGAUGUUGGGUUAAGUCCCGCAACGAGCGCAACCCUUGAUCUUAGUUGCCAGCAUUCAGUUGGGCACUCUAAGGUGACUGCCGGUGACAAACCGGAGGAAGGUGGGGAUGACGUCAAAUCAUCAUGCCCCUUAUGACCUGGGCUACACACGUGCUACAAUGGACAGAACAAAGGGCAGCGAAACCGCGAGGUUAAGCCAAUCCCACAAAUCUGUUCUCAGUUCGGAUCGCAGUCUGCAACUCGACUGCGUGAAGCUGGAAUCGCUAGUAAUCGCGGAUCAGCAUGCCGCGGUGAAUACGUUCCCGGGCCUUGUACACACCGCCCGUCACACCACGAGAGUUUGUAACACCCGAAGUCGGUGAGGUAACCUUUUAGGAGCCAGCCGCCGAAGGUGGGACAGAUGAUUGGGGUGAAGUCGUAACAAGGUAGCCGUAUCGGAAGGUGCGGCUGGAUCACCUCCUU
Molecule: ribosomal RNA, 1542 nt
Filed under: Bacillus subtilis
Lineage: Bacteria; Bacillati; Bacillota; Bacilli; Caryophanales; Bacillaceae
Description: 16S ribosomal RNA
Rfam family: Bacterial small subunit ribosomal RNA
Source: RNAcentral